RNAcentral lists this ribosomal RNA (239 nucleotides) under uncultured bacterium. Its description in RNAcentral is "partial 16S ribosomal RNA". It matches the Rfam family "Bacterial small subunit ribosomal RNA", at positions 118 to 347 of the family's 1533-position model. The record is from RNAcentral.
UGAGUAACCUGCCCUUAACUCUGGGAUAAGCCUGGGAAACUGGGUCUAAUACCGAAUAUGACUCCUCAUCGCAUGGGUGGGGGGUGGAAAGCUUUAUUGUUGGUUUUUGGAUGGACUCGCGGCCUAUCAGCUUGUUGGUGAGGUAAUGGCUCACCAAGGCAACGACGGGUANCUGGUCUGAGAGGAUGGCCAGCCCACAUUGGGACUGAGAUACCGGCCCAGACCUCCGUACGGGAGCA